Molecule: transfer-messenger RNA, 371 nt
Filed under: Pseudonocardiaceae
Lineage: Bacteria; Bacillati; Actinomycetota; Actinomycetes; Pseudonocardiales
Also listed under: 1 other name
Description: Pseudonocardia sp013695005 Standard tmRNA
Rfam family: transfer-messenger RNA
About the family: Bacterial tmRNA, also known as 10Sa RNA or SsrA, is named for its dual tRNA and mRNA-like properties. Its role is to liberate the mRNA from a stalled ribosome.
Source: RNAcentral
GGGGGUGAACGGUUUCGACUCCGAAUGUUGAUCAAGGUGAAGCGUGCCGAGGAAGGCGACAAUGAUCUCGUUAACCACGUGUCGCAAAAAAACAAGUGCCGUUGAUACGCGCACUGACGUAGCUCUCGCCGGCUGAGCGAGUAAUGCGUCUGUCGGUCCGGGAUGUUCCCGCCCCGGUUACCGGCAUCAGCUAGGGAACUCACCUACUAGCCCGGUCGCGGAGCUGGUAGGGACACCAAACAGCGACUGGGAUCGUCACACCGGCUAGUCCGCGCGACCGGUGGAUCCGAGUAGAGGCACAGCGGACUGCGCACGGAGAAGCCCUUGUGAAGCAACGGAGGACCCGGGUUCGAUUCCCGGCACCUCCACGU